Molecule: microRNA precursor, 168 nt
Filed under: Pelobates cultripes (western spadefoot toad)
Lineage: Eukaryota; Metazoa; Chordata; Amphibia; Anura; Pelobatidae
Source: RNAcentral
GCAGACACAUUCCAGCCAAUCAGCAGCAAACCCUCCCUCCCAGACCCUCCCACCUCCUGGACAGCAUCCAUUUUACAUUCAUUGUGAAGCUGCAUUCUUAGUGAGCUGUCCAGGAGGUGGGAGGGUCUGGGAGGGAGGGUCUGCUGCUGAUUGGCUGGAAUGUGUCUG